Molecule: ribosomal RNA, 351 nt
Filed under: uncultured bacterium
Lineage: Bacteria
Description: bacterial SSU rRNA
Rfam family: Bacterial small subunit ribosomal RNA
Source: RNAcentral
GGGCCCGCACAAGCGGUGGAGUAUGUGGUUUAAUUCGAUGCAACGCGAAGAACCUUACCAGGGUUUGACAUCCUGCGAAUCUCUUGGAAACGAGAGAGUGCCUUCGGGAACGCAGUGACAGGUGGUGCAUGGCUGUCGUCAGCUCGUGUCGUGAGAUGUUGGGUUAAGUCCCGCAACGAGCGCAACCCACGUCUUUAGUUGCCAGCAUUUAGUUGGGCACUCUAGGGAGACUGCCGGUGAUAAGCCGGAGGAAGGUGGGGAUGACGUCAAGUCCUCAUGGCCUUUAUGCCCAGGGCUACACACGUGCUACAAUGGUAGGUACAGAGGGGAGCGAAGUUGCGAAGCGGAGCG